Molecule: ribosomal RNA, 1209 nt
Filed under: uncultured prokaryote
Description: partial 16S ribosomal RNA
Rfam family: Archaeal small subunit ribosomal RNA
Source: RNAcentral
GGACGUAAGUCACCGGCGAAUAGUUCAGUAACACGUCGUUAAUCUGCCCUUAAGUCUGGGAUAGUCUUGGGAAACUGAGUUUAAUACCGGAUAGAUAAUUGAUAUUGGAAUAUACUUUUAUUCAAAGGUUACGCUUAAGGAUGAGACGGCGGCCGAUUAGGUUGUUGGUGGGGUAAUGGCCCACCAAGCCAACGAUCGGUAGGGGCCCUGACAGGGGUAGCCCCGAGGAGGACACUGAGAUAAGGGUCCUGACUCUACGGAGUAUAGCAAGCGCGAAACCUUUACAAUGCACGAAAGUGUGAUAAGGGAACUCUAAGUGCUCAUGCAAAGCAUGGGCUUUUUCUUAGUGUAAAAAGCUAGGAGAAUAAGUGGUGGGCAAGACUGGUGCCAGCAGCCGCGGUAACACCAGCGCCACUAGUGGGGACCGCUAUUAUUGGGCCUAAAGCGUCCGUAGCCGGAUUUGUAAAUCUUUUGUGAAAUUAUGUGGCUUAACCAUAUAAAGUGCAGAAGAAACUGCAGGUCUAGAGACCGGGAGGCGUCAGUGGUAUUCCGGAGGGAGCGGUAAAAUGCUAUAAUCUCUGGAGGACCCCCUGUGGCGAAGGCGACUGACGAGAACGGAUCCGACGGUGAGGAACGAAAGCUAGGGGAGCGAACCGGAUUAGAUACCCGAGUAGUCCCAGCUGUAAACGCUGCGAGCAAGGUGUUGCAUAUUCCACGAGAAUGUGCAGUGUCGAAGCGAAGGCGAUAAGCUCGCCGCCUGGGAAGUAUGGUCGCAAGACUGAAACUUAAAGGAAUUGGCGGGGGAGCACUACAAGGGGUGCGGCGUGCGGUUUAAUCUAACUCAACGCAGAGAAUCUCACCAGAGGCGACGGCAGGAUGAAAGUCAGAUUGAAGGUUUUACUUGACGAGCCGAGAGGUAGUGCAUGGCCGCCGUCAGCUCGUUCCGUAAGGUGUCCUGUUAAGUCAGGCAACGAGCGAGACCUGUACCUACAAUUGCCAGCGGAAUCUUUUGAUUGACCGGGCACAUUGUAGGGACUGCCUUGGAAACAAGGAGGAAGGUGCAGGCUACGGUAGGUCUGUAUGCUCCGAAUCCUCUGGGCUACACGCGCGCAACAAUGGUAUAGACAAUGGGAUGCGACUCCGAAAGGAGAAGCUAAUCCUCUAAACCAUAUCUCAGUCCAGAUCGUGGUUUGUAACUCAGCCACAUGA